RNAcentral lists this unclassified non-coding RNA (218 nucleotides) under uncultured Tomentella. Its description in RNAcentral is "partial internal transcribed spacer 2". The record is from RNAcentral. Lineage: Eukaryota; Fungi; Basidiomycota; Agaricomycetes; Thelephorales; Thelephoraceae.
ACAUCUCAACUCUCACGGUUCGCCGUGAUGAGCUUGGACUUUGGGGGUCUUGCCGGCCUGCGGGUUGGCUCCUCUCAAAUUGAUCAGCUUGCCAGUGUUUGGUGGCAUCACGUGUGUGAUAACUAUCUACGCUCGUGGUUCUCCGCCAGGUAACCUUCGGUGACGGAGGUUCGCUGGAGCUCACAAACGUCUCUCCUCAGUGAGGACAGCUUUUUAAC